GGGUUGUGAGGUUAAGCGACUAAGCGUACACGGUGGAUGCCCUGGCAGUCAGAGGCGAUGAAGGACGUGCUAAUCUGCGAUAAGCGCCGGUAAGGUGAUAUGAACCGUUAUAACCGGCGAUUUCCGAAUGGGGAAACCCAGUGUGAUUCGUCACACUAUCAUUAACUGAAUCCAUAGGUUAAUGAGGCGAACCGGGGGAACUGAAACAUCUAAGUACCCCGAGGAAAAGAAAUCAACCGAGAUUCCCCCAGUAGCGGCGAGCGAACGGGGAGGAGCCCAGAGCCUGAAUCAGCAUGUGUGUUAGUGGAAGCGUCUGGAAAGGCGCGCGAUACAGGGUGACAGCCCCGUACACAAAAGCGCAUGUGCUGUGAGCUCGAUGAGUAGGGCGGGACACGUGGUAUCCUGUCUGAAUAUGGGGGGACCAUCCUCCAAGGCUAAAUACUCCUGACUGACCGAUAGUGAACCAGUACCGUGAGGGAAAGGCGAAAAGAACCCCGGCGAGGGGAGUGAAAAAGAACCUGAAACCGUGUACGUACAAGCAGUGGGAGCACCCUUCGGGGUGUGACUGCGUACCUUUUGUAUAAUGGGUCAGCGACUUAUAUUCUGUAGCAAGGUUAACCGUAUAGGGGAGCCGGAGGGAAACCGAGUCUUAAUUGGGCGUUAAGUUGCAGGGUAUAGACCCGAAACCCGGUGAUCUAGCCAUGGGCAGGUUGAAGGUUGGGUAACACUAACUGGAGGACCGAACCGACUAAUGUUGAAAAAUUAGCGGAUGACCUGUGGCUGGGGGUGAAAGGCCAAUCAAACCGGGAGAUAGCUGGUUCUCCCCGAAAGCUAUUUAGGUAGCGCCUCGUGAAUUCAUCUCCGGGGGUAGAGCACUGUUUCGGCUAGGGGGCCAUCCCGGCUUACCAACCCGAUGCAAACUGCGAAUACCGGAGAAUGUUAUCACGGGAGACACACGGCGGGUGCUAACGUCCGUCGUGAAGAGGGAAACAACCCAGACCGCCAGCUAAGGUCCCAAAGUCAUGGUUAAGUGGGAAACGAUGUGGGAAGGCCCAGACAGCCAGGAUGUUGGCUUAGAAGCAGCCAUCAUUUAAAGAAAGCGUAAUAGCUCACUGGUCGAGUCGGCCUGCGCGGAAGAUGUAACGGGGCUAAACCAUGCACCGAAGCUGCGGCAGCGAACGUAUCACCCAAGACAACUUUACGGAGUUGACGAUUGACGGAGCGAAGCGACGUCAAAGCGUUCAUUAAAGUCGAGUUGGCUUAGGGAUACGUUCGUUGGGUAGGGGAGCGUUCUGUAAGCCUGUGAAGGUGUGUCGUGAGGC
This 1322-nucleotide ribosomal RNA is filed under the name Salmonella enterica subsp. enterica serovar Typhimurium. Its description in RNAcentral is "partial 23S ribosomal RNA". It matches the Rfam family "Bacterial large subunit ribosomal RNA", at positions 1 to 1269 of the family's 2925-position model. Lineage: Bacteria; Pseudomonadati; Pseudomonadota; Gammaproteobacteria; Enterobacterales; Enterobacteriaceae. The record is from RNAcentral.